Molecule: unclassified non-coding RNA, 400 nt
Filed under: uncultured Gemmatimonadaceae bacterium
Lineage: Bacteria; Pseudomonadati; Gemmatimonadota; Gemmatimonadia; Gemmatimonadales; Gemmatimonadaceae
Description: contains 16S-23S intergenic spacer region
Source: RNAcentral
GGACUACAGGGGUUUCUAAUCCUGUUUGCUCCCCACGCUGUCGCGCAUCAGUGUCAGAAACUGCCCAGCAGACCGCCUUCGCCACCGGUCUUCCUCCGGAUCUCUACGCAUUCCACCGCUACACCCGGAAUUCCGUCUGCCUCUACAGCCCUCAAGUUUGACAGUCGGCACGGCAGACCCGGGGUUGAGCCCCGGGCUUUCACCACACCCUUAUCAAACCACCUACGCGCCCUUUACGCCCAGUGAUUCCGGACAACGCUCGCACCCCCCGUAUUACCGCGGCUGCUGGCACGGAGUUAGCCGGUGCUUCCUCACCCGGUACCGUCAGGCUCGAUUAAUCGAGCUAUUCGUCCCGGGCAACAGUGGUUUACACUCCGAAGAGCUUCAUCCCACACGCGGC